Molecule: long non-coding RNA, 1020 nt
Organism: Cyprinodon tularosa
Lineage: Eukaryota; Metazoa; Chordata; Actinopteri; Cyprinodontiformes; Cyprinodontidae
Exons: 4
Source: RefSeq, a predicted model, not a curated record
GAGGGAAACAGCUGAUCUGCUCUCAGCCCUUCUCCAGAGGUAUGUCCUCAAACUGAGGGCAUUGGUGCUCCCCUGGACCUCACUCCUUCUUCUGGCCUCAGAUUGAACUUUAGAGUAUCCAAUGAGCCCGCCCCAGGGCCGUGUGGGAACCUGAACUGGGAGGAAGCCUUGCCAAGCAGACAGCACCAGUCUGGAAACCUGCCAUUAAAUGAAUCCCCAGCAUCAACAACCUCACAGCCGUUCUGACUCAGCCCCUUCACUGCAGAUUUAUCCACCUGUGUUUCCACUCCAGGGCCAGUUGCAAAAAAAAACAAAACCCUUAUAGUGUCUAAACUAAUCCCAGACACACAUUCAAAUAGUCUCAUGUUUGACAGGUCCCGUAACUUCUCUCUGUAACUUAAUCAGAUAAUCUAUUGCACAUAAGUUGAUUCUGGCUCAGCAUAAAAAGCAAACACACAGCUCAUAACCAAAAGAUUCUUCAUGGCCUGUCAGUCCCUGCAUAACAAAAGCCUUGAUUAAUUUGUUUAGACAUGUUUACAUGAAAGGCUGUAUUUCAAUUUUGAGAUAAGCUUGGACACAGGCCAGACUUAAGAUAUCUGAAAAAAAAUGUACGUUGGUUGAUGGAUAAGAAGUCCAUAAAUCUUCUUUUAAUAAAUUAAGACAUUUUGAACACUUAAUGAAUUUAAAUCAAUUAAAUGUAUCUACUUAUUUAUUUCUAACCUGUGUUAUAAGCAAAUCCAUGAGUCAUAUUUCAAAAAGAUUUAAAGGAUUACCUAUUUUUUAAAGCAAGCUGCUGCAAACAACAAUCAGUGGUCACUGGUUUCUCUAAAGUAAAAGGCAAAGGAAAAAAUUUAAUUCAUAGAACCAUGGAGGAGUUUUACCAGAGGAUUUAAAUUAGUUAUGUAAGGAAAUUCCAGGCUAAAAGUCUGGAAUCUAAAACAAUAAAAAAGUCACAAGCAGUAAUAUGCAAUGUUGUCCUUUUUUGCCUUACAAGGCUGUAUUAAGACCCAUGUAUGCAUG